This 650-nucleotide ribosomal RNA is filed under the name uncultured bacterium. Its description in RNAcentral is "bacterial SSU rRNA". It matches the Rfam family "Bacterial small subunit ribosomal RNA", at positions 8 to 703 of the family's 1533-position model. The record is from RNAcentral.
AGAGUUUGAUCAUGGCUCAGAUUGAACGCUGGCGGCAUGGUUAAAGCAUGCAAGUCGAACGGGCCCGCAAGGGCCAGUGGCGAAAGGGUGAGUAAUACGAUCGAACGUGCCCCGAGGUGGGGGAUAGGCGUGGGAAACUGCGCGUAAGACCCCAUGAUGUCUACGGACCAAAGGCUUGCCGCCUUGGGAUCAGCGAUCGUCCUAUCAGGUAGUUGGUGAGGUAACGGCUCACCAAGCCAAUGACGGGUAGCAGGUGUGAGAGCACGGCCUGCCACAUCGGGACUGAGACACUGCCCGGACUCCUACGGGAGGCUGCAGCGACGAAUCUUCCGCAAUGGGCGAAAGCCUGACGGAGCGAUGCCGCGUGUGGGAUGAAGCGGCUUUGCCGUGUAAACCACUGUCAGGAGAUAGAAACACUGAUCAUCUCCAGAGGAAGGGGCGACUAACUCUGUGCCAGCAGUCGCGGUAAUACAGAGGCCCCGAGCGUUAAUCGGAAUCACUGGGCUUAAAGGGUGCGUAGGCGGACUCGUAAGUGUCGUGUGAAAGCCCACUGCUUAACGGUGGAACCGCACGGCAAACUGCAAGUCUCGAGGAAUGGUAGAGGCCGGUAGAACGAUUGGUGGAGCGGUGGAAUGCGUAGAUAUCAAUCG